Molecule: ribosomal RNA, 433 nt
Filed under: uncultured bacterium
Lineage: Bacteria
Description: partial 16S ribosomal RNA
Rfam family: Bacterial small subunit ribosomal RNA
Source: RNAcentral
AACGAACGCUGGCGGCAUGCCUAACACAUGCAAGUCGAACGAGACCUUCGGGUCUAGUGGCGCACGGGUGCGUAACGCGUGGGAACCUGCCCUUAGGUUCGGAAUACCUCCCCGAAAGGGGUGCUAAUACCGGAUAAUGUCUUCGGACCAAAGAUUUAUCGCGUUUGGUGGGGCCCGCGUUGGAUUAGCUAGUUGGUAGGGUAAAAGCCUACCAAGGCGACGAUCCAUAGCUGGUCUGAGAGGAUGAUCAGCCACACUGGGAGUGAGACGCGGCCCGGACUCUUACGGGAGGCAGCAGUGGGGAAUAUUGGACAAGGGGGUAAGGCAUGAUCCAGCAAUGCCGCGUAAGUGAUGAAGGCCUUAGGGUUGAAAAGCUCUUUUACCCGGGAUGAUAAUGACAGUACCGGAAGAAUAAGCUCCGGCUAACUCCGUG